This 253-nucleotide ribosomal RNA is filed under the name uncultured bacterium. Its description in RNAcentral is "partial 16S ribosomal RNA". It matches the Rfam family "Bacterial small subunit ribosomal RNA", at positions 524 to 776 of the family's 1533-position model. The record is from RNAcentral.
GACGUAGGGCGCGAGCGUUGUCCGGAUUUAUUGGGCGUAAAGAGCUCGUAGGCGGCUUGUCGCGUCGACUGUGAAAGCCCGCGGCUCAACCGCGGGUCUGCAGUCGAUACGGGCAGGCUAGAGUUCGGUGGGGGAGACUGGAAUUCCUGGUGUAGCGGUGAAAUGCGCAGAUAUCAGGAGGAACACCGAUGGCGAAGGCAGGUCGCUGGGACGGUAUUGACGCUAAGGCGCGAAAGCGUGGGGAGCAAACAGG